AGUAUAAGCAAUUAUACCGUGAAACUGCGAAUGGCUCAUUAAAUCAGUUAUCGUUUAUUUGAUAGUACCUACCAACUACUUGGAUAACCGUGGUAAUUCUAGAGCUAAUACAUGCUAAAAACCCCGACUUCGGGAGGGGUGUAUUUAUUAGAUAAAAAACCAAUGCCCCUCGGGGCUCCUUGGUGAAUCAUAAUAACUUAACGGAUCGCAUGGCCUUGCGCCGGCGACGGUUCAUUCAAAUUUCUGCCCUAUCAACUUUCGAUGGUAAGGUAUUGGCUUACCAUGGUUUCAACGGGUAACGGGGAAUUAGGGUUCGAUUCCGGAGAGGGAGCCUGAGAAACGGCUACCACAUCCAAGGAAGGCAGCAGGCGCGCAAAUUACCCAAUCCCGACACGGGGAGGUAGUGACAAUAAAUACUGAUACAGGGCUCUUUUGGGUCUUGUAAUCGGAAUGAGUACAAUUUAAACCCCUUAACGAGGAACAAUUGGAGGGCAAGUCUGGUGCCAGCAGCCGCGGUAAUUCCAGCUCCAAUAGCGUAUAUUAAAGUUGUUGCAGUUAAAAAGCUCGUAGUUGAACCUUGGGCCUGGCUGGCCGGUCCGCCUCACCGCGUGUACUGGUCCGGCCGGGCCUUUCCUUCUGGAGAGCCGCAUGCCCUUCACUGGGUGUGUCGGGGAACCAGGACUUUUACUUUGAAAAAAUUAGAGUGUUCAAAGCAGGCCUUUGCUCGAAUACGUUAGCAUGGAAUAAUAGAAUAGGACGUGCGGUCCUAUUUUGUUGGUUUCUAGGACCGCCGUAAUGAUUAAUAGGGAUAGUCGGGGGCAUCAGUAUUCAAUUGUCAGAGGUGAAAUUCUUGGAUUUAUUGAAGACUAACUACUGCGAAAGCAUUUGCCAAGGAUGUUUUCAUUAAUCAGUGAACGAAAGUUAGGGGAUCGAAGACGAUCAGAUACCGUCGUAGUCUUAACCGUAAACUAUGCCGACUAGGGAUCGGGCGAUGUUUCUAUCUUGACUCGCUCGGCACCUUACGAGAAAUCAAAGUUUUUGGGU
RNAcentral lists this ribosomal RNA (1044 nucleotides) under Tetraploa cylindrica. Its description in RNAcentral is "SSU rRNA". It matches the Rfam family "Eukaryotic small subunit ribosomal RNA", at positions 62 to 1112 of the family's 1831-position model. Lineage: Eukaryota; Fungi; Ascomycota; Dothideomycetes; Pleosporales; Tetraplosphaeriaceae. The record is from RNAcentral.